GGUAGUGGGUUGUUGGUGGUAGUGGAUUAGUGGAUGGUUGUUGGUGUCCAUUUUCAACCACAAAUCUUUGCCAAAGUUUUGGACAAUUAUGUCCUUGAACUCUCUUAUAAAUAGAGAGGUUCAUUAGCCAUAUUGAUCAUCCCAAAACCAAGAGAGAGCAAAGCUUGUUCUUUGAAAGCUAGGAUUUUAGCUUUCGGGUUUUCUAUAGGGGUUGAGAGUUGUGAGGUUCUCGGGUUGUGUCUUGAGUGUAAAACACUUGUAAUCUUCAUCUUGUUAUAGUGAAAUUUCUUUUCGCCUCUGCCCGUGGACGUAGGCAUUAAAGCCGAACCACGUAAAUCCUUGUGUUCACUUUAUUUUUCGUUUCGGUCAAUUUACUUGUAGUCAUAUCGGAGUUCUCGAAUCGAUCCUUUCCGCAACAAAUUGGUAUCAGAGCGUAGUUGAAGGAGUGAUAAUAUUUUCUGAAUUGCCCUGUGACUGCAGCUUUGUCUGAUCUUUCACAUCAGGAAGAAAAUAUUAUCAUUCAUUCAAAGGUUCCAAAUUAUGGCUACAAGUGUUUCAUCGACUAAGUAUGAUGUCGAGAAAUUUACCGGGAAAAAUAGUUUCAGUUUAUGGCGCAUCAAGAUGCGGGCAGUGCUGGUUCAACAAGGAUUGCUAAAAGCAUUGUCUGGUAAAGAUAAAUUACCAAGCACGCUUUCGGAAGAGCAAAAGGAUGACAUGCUAGAAAGAGCACAUAGUGCUAUUCUGCUAUGUCUAGGAGAUGAAGUGCUACGAGAAGUAGCGGAUGAGAAAACCGCGUCCGGUUUGUGGCUCCGGUUAGAAAGCAAGUACAUGACGAAGUCAUUGACGAACCGGCUCUACCUCAAGCAAAGACUCUAUGCCCUGAAGAUGGAGGAAGGUACACCUGUUUCCCAGCACCUGGAUAAAUUCAAUUCCAUUAUCAUGGAUUUGAAUAAUAUCGAUAACAAAAUCGAUGAUGAGGACCAAGCAAUAAUUGUUUUGUGUUCUUUGCCUCCCUCGUAUGAGAAUUUUGUUGAUACAAUGAUGUACGGUCGUGAUGACCUGACUCUAGAGGAGGUGAAAAAUGCCUUAAGUUCCAGUGAGUUGAGGAAGAAAAUCACUGGUAAGGUGGUCGAAAACAAUGAAGGCGAAGGCUUGGUUGCUCGAGGAAGAUCCAAGGCAAAGGGUGGAAGUUCAAGUAAAAGCCAUCCUAGAUCGCAGUCCAAGAAGAGAAUACAGUGCUACUACUGUAAGAAGUACGGGCACAUGAAGGUAGAUUGUCCGAAAAGGAAGGAGAAAUCAGAAUCACAGGAGCAACAAAAUGAUCGUGCGAAUGUAGCUGAUGCAGAUUCUUCAAGAGAUGCCGAGAUCGUUCUUGCAGUAUCCGACUCUUACGCUGGUGGGAGAUGGAUUCUUGAUACGGGAGCUACAUUUCAUAUAAGUACUUCGAAAGAUGCAUUCUCAACAUACGAGAAGCAUUCUGGUUCAGUACUAAUGGGAAAUGACCACGCAUGUCAAGUCAUGGGGAUUGGCACAGUUCGUAUAAAGAUGUUUGACGGUAUUGUUAGAACUCUAACUGAUGUUCGGCACAUUCCAGAAAUGAAGAAAAAUUUGAUCUCUUUGAGUACGUUGGACAAGAAAGGCUUUCGGUACUCUGCUGAAGGUGGAGUUCUCAAGGUAUUCUCGGGUGCUUUGACUGUGAUACGUGGUAAUUUGGAGCGGGGCCUUUACUUCCUCGAUGGUUCCUCGGUUACAGGUGUUGCGGGAGUGUCAUCAUCAGAUGAUCUAGAUUCUGACACCACGAAGUUAUGGCAUAUGCGGCUCGGGCAUAUGAGCGAGAGAGGCUUAUCGGUGCUAAGCAAACGAGGAUUAUUGUCUGGGCAGUGUACAGGAAAGUUGAAUUUCUGUGAGCACUGCGUCUUCGGUAAGCAGACUCGGGUAAAGUUUAGCACUGGGAUUCACAAGACAAAAGGCACAGUGGAUUACUUCCAUUCUGACCUUUGGGGGCCUUCUCCGACAAUUUCUAAAGGUGGUUACAGAUAUCUGCUUACCUUUAUCGAUGAUUACUCGAGAAAGGUUUGGGUGUAUUUUCUGAAGAGCAAGUAUGAGGUUCUCAUCAACUUCAAGCAAUUUAAAGCUUUGAUCGAAAAUCAAACAGGAAAGAAGAUCAAGCGAUUCCGGACGGAUAAUGGCUUGGAGUUUUGCUCAGGUGAAUUCAAUGAGUUCUGCAAGAAUGAAGGAAUAGUGAGACACCGCACUGUUCGUCGAACACCACAACAAAAUGGAGUUGCAGAACGCAUGAAUAGAACUCUCUUGGAGCGAGCUCGUUGCAUGCGAUCAAAUGCUGGGCUCGGUGAAGAAUUUUGGGCUGAAGCUGUUAAUACUGCUUGUUAUUUGGUUAACAGAUCUCCGUCAACAGCUAUUGAGCUGAAGACUCCUGAGGAAGUAUGGUCUGGUUCUCCUGCUGAUUACUCUGGUUUAAGAGUGUUUGGCUGCCCUGCGUAUGCUCAUGUAAAUGAGGGAAAACUCAAACCGAGGGCGAAGAAAUGCAUAUUUCUUGGAUACGGCCAAGGGGUGAAAGGAUACAGGUUGUGGUGUCCUGAUCCGGUUUCGUCCAAGUUCAUCAUCAGCAGAGAUGUGACUUUUGAUGAGUCAUCCAUGCUUCGAUCCACCACAAAUUCCCGGGAAAAGGAGGAGUCAGAUAGAAUGGGAGAUCACGGUGUUGAGAAGCAGGUGGAGUGUCAGGUGGACGCUCCAAUUCCUACGGAAGGUACUUCAGUCCAGGAUGAUCAAGUUGAGGUGCAAGAUUCCGAUGAAGAUGAGUCACCUCAAGAAAAACCAUAUAGCAUUGCCACUGGAAGAACGAAGAGACAAAUCAAACCAAAUCCGCGUUACGCUAAUCUGGUGUCUUUCGCGCUCAGUGUGGCGGAGUCCAUUGGUAUAGAACCUUCCAGUUAUAAUGAGGCUGUCACGUGUGAUGAGUCGGCACAGUGGGCAAUUGCUAUGAGUGAGGAGAUAGAAUCUCUUCACAAGAACCAUACUUGGGAGUUGGUUAAGCCGCCAAGUAACCAGAAGAUAGUUGGUUGCAAAUGGGUCUUCAAGAAAAAGGAAGGCAUCCUAGGGGUUGAAGCAACUAGAUUCAAGGCACGAUUGGUUGCUAAAGGCUUCACUCAGAAAGAGGGGAUUGACUACAAUGAAGUUUUCUCCCCAGUCGUAAAGCAUUCUUCCAUUCGUAUAUUACUUGCCAUGGUGGCCAAGUCUGAUCUAGAACUUGAGCAGCUUGACGUAAAAACGGCGUUCUUGCAUGGUGAGCUCGAGGAAACAAUCUACAUGCGUCAACCAGAGGGUUUUACAGUUCCUGGUAAAGAAGACCAUGUCUGUCUAUUAAAGAAGUCUUUAUAUGGAUUGAAACAAUCCCCAAGGCAGUGGUACAAGCGGUUUGAUAGCUUCAUGAUUCAGCAUGGUUACACAAGAUGUGACUAUGAUGCUUGUGUCUAUCAUCGGAAGCUCUCAGAUGGUUCGCACAUUUAUUUGUUGCUGUAUGUUGAUGACAUGUUAAUUGCUUCCAAAAACAUGUCGGAAAUCAACAAGUUAAAGUCGCAGUUGAGUGGUGAGUUCGAGAUGAAGGAUCUGGGUGCUGCCAAGAAAAUUUUGGGCAUGGAUAUUCACAGAGAUCGCAAGGCGGGCAAGCUUCGUGUGUCGCAGAAGAACUACAUUGAAAAGGUUCUUCAACGCUUCGGCAUGGAUAAAGCGAAAACUGUGAGUACUCCGUUGGCACCACAUUUCAAACUCUCUGCAGAGUUGUCACCACAAUCUGAUGAAGAAAAGCAGCAAAUGUCUCACAUUCCAUACUCGAGUGCAGUUGGAAGCGUGAUGUAUGCAAUGGUUUGCACUCGUCCAGACAUUUCACAUGCAGUUAGUGUGGUCAGCAGAUACAUGAGUUGUCCUGGCAAGGAACACUGGCAGGCCGUGAAAUGGAUUCUCAGGUACUUGAGAGGUUCUGCAGAUUUAUGCUUGGUAUAUGAUCAGAGUGACUGCACUAGCAGUGUCACGGGCUAUGCGGACUCUGAUUAUGCUGGAGAUCUGGACAAAAGAAGAUCUCUGACGGGUUAUGUUUUCACUUAUUCUGGAGGAGCCAUUAGUUGGAAAGCUGUGUUACAGUCUACCGUAGCCUUAUCUACGACUGAGGCGGAAUAUAUGGCGUUAGCAGAAGCAGUGAAAGAAGCAUUGUGGAUGAAAGGUCUAGUAAGCAGUUUGGGUUUACAACAGGAUUUCACUGUUGUAUUUUGCGAUAGCCAGAGUGCCAUACAUCUGACUAAAAAUCAGAUGUUUCAUGAACGGACCAAACACAUUGAUGUCAGAUAUCAUUUUGUUCGGGAACAUGUUACGCAAGGUGACAUUGUUAUCAGCAAGGUUGCUACCGAGAAGAAUCCUGCAGAUAUGUUAACUAAGGUGAUCCCUGCAUAUAAGUUCAAGCAUUGCUUGGACUUGAUAGGUAUUCGGGAUUGAUUAGCGCCAGAGAGGCGUUUGGAAGAGGUGAUCCAGUUCACUAUGAUGUUCAGCUUGGUAAAUUUCAAGCCAAGGUGGAGAUUUGUUAAGAAAUGGCUUAAAAUUGGUAGUGGAUUGUUGUUGUUGGUAGUGGGUUGUUGGUGGUAGUGGAUUAGUGGAUGGUUGUUGGUGUCCAUUUUCAACCACAAAUCUUUGCCAAAGUUUUGGACAAUUAUGUCCUUGAACUCUCUUAUAAAUAGAGAGGUUCAUUAGCCAUAUUGAUCAUCCCAAAACCAAGAGAGAGCAAAGCUUGUUCUUUGAAAGCUAGGAUUUUAGCUUUCGGGUUUUCUAUAGGGGUUGAGAGUUGUGAGGUUCUCGGGUUGUGUCUUGAGUGUAAAACACUUGUAAUCUUCAUCUUGUUAUAGUGAAAUUUCUUUUCGCCUCUGCCCGUGGACGUAGGCAUU
This 4949-nucleotide long non-coding RNA is filed under the name Gossypium barbadense (sea-island cotton). RNAcentral's name for it is "long non-coding RNA (GBAR_LNC008276)". Lineage: Eukaryota; Viridiplantae; Streptophyta; Magnoliopsida; Malvales; Malvaceae. The record is from RNAcentral.